RNAcentral lists this ribosomal RNA (500 nucleotides) under uncultured bacterium. Its description in RNAcentral is "bacterial SSU rRNA". It matches the Rfam family "Bacterial small subunit ribosomal RNA", at positions 57 to 536 of the family's 1533-position model. The record is from RNAcentral.
GCAAGUAGAGCGAUGAUUAAAGAUAGCUUGCUAUUUUUAUAGAAGAGCGGCGAACGGGUGAGUAACGCGUGGGAAAUCUGCCGAGUAGCGGGGGACAACGUUUGGAAACGAACGCUAAUACCGCAUAACAAUGAGAAUCGCAUGAUUCUUAUUUAAAAGAAGCAAUUGCUUCACUACUUGAUGAUCCCGCGUUGUAUUAGCUAGUUGGUAGUGUAAAGGACUACCAAGGCGAUGAUACAUAGCCGACCUGAGAGGGUGAUCGGCCACACUGGGACUGAGACACGGCCCAGACUCCUACGGGAGGCAGCAGUAGGGAAUCUUCGGCAAUGGGGGCAACCCUGACCGAGCAACGCCGCGUGAGUGAAGAAGGUUUUCGGAUCGUAAAACUCUGUUGUUAGAGAAGAACGUUAAGUAGAGUGGAAAAUUACUUAAGUGACGGUAUCUAACCAGAAAGGGACGGCUAACUACGUGCCAGCAGCCGCGGUAAUACGUAGGUCCCA